AGAAACGCCCACUGAAUUUCCUACUUUCAUUUUUGAAAAAUCUUCUAUUUGGAGAUAGAUUUGUACGCAUCUAUUUACAUUUUAUCUGCGAAAGAAAAUACACUUGCUCAGUUGCUGAAGUGGCUCUCUUUCUCGUCCUUAAGAGCACACAUAACUUCUAAAACGUAAAAAAAAAACAUGUGAAAGAUUGCUAUUCUACAGUGGACCUUGAUAAAUUCUGAUGGAAAGGAAGUAAUACAAAGAGAUACAAAACACGAUUUUAAAAGGACAAAGAUGUAAUGGGUGAAAAUGGAAGAAAAGAAAAAGAAAUACCAAACAAGAUUUUCCAGGGAUUUACAGGUCAUUGGUGAAAAUUGAAGAAAAGAUAAAUGAAAUAACAAAAAUAGUUAAAUGAUUUACAACCAAGCAGCACUCAGCAAUAGUGAUGAUGGUUAAACAAGAUUUAGUGCCUACCACACAGUUAAGAAAGCAUGAGAGACAAGAAUGUCUACAGAACAGAGGAGACUAUUUUUACUGCACUUAGAUUUGUGUUUUAGUUAUAUUCAAUUAGUAUUAAAGAGCUACGUACAAUAAAUCAUGUUAUAUUA
Molecule: long non-coding RNA, 587 nt
Organism: Mytilus trossulus (common blue mussel)
Lineage: Eukaryota; Metazoa; Mollusca; Bivalvia; Mytilida; Mytilidae
Exons: 5
Source: RefSeq, a predicted model, not a curated record